UAGGGAAUAUUGGGCAAUGGAUGCAAGUCUGGCCCAGCCAUGCCGCGUGCGGGAAGAAGGCCUUCGGGUUGUAAACCGCUUUUGUCAGGGAAGAAAUCCUUUGAGCUAAUACCUCGGGGGGAUGACGGUACCUGAAGAAUAAGCACCGGCUAACUACGUGCCAGCAGCCGCGGUAAUACGUAGGGUGCAAGCGUUAAUCGGAAUUACUGGGCGUAAAGCGUGCGCAGGCGGUUAUGCAAGACAGAUGUGAAAUCCCCGGGCUCAACCUGGGACCUGCAUUUGUGACUGUAUAGCUAGAGUACGGUAGAGGGGGAUGGAAUUCCGCGUGUAGCAGUGAAAUGCGUAGAUAUGCGGAGGAACACCGGUGGCGAAGGCAAUCCCCUGGACCUGUACUGACGCUCAUGCACGAAAGCGUGGGGAGCAAACA
Molecule: ribosomal RNA, 427 nt
Filed under: uncultured bacterium
Lineage: Bacteria
Description: bacterial SSU rRNA
Rfam family: Bacterial small subunit ribosomal RNA
Source: RNAcentral